CAGUCGCCACGGUAAAACGUAGGUGGCAAGCGUUGUCCGGAAUUAUUGGGCGUAAAGGGCUCGCAGGCGGUUUCUUAAGUCUGAUGUGAAAGCCCCCGGCUCAACCGGGGAGGGUCAUUGGAAACUGGGAAACUUGAGCGCAGAAGAGGAGAGUGGAAUUCCACGUGUAGCGGUGAAAUGCGUAGAGAUGUGGAGGAACACCAGUGGCGAAGGCGACUCUCUGGUCUGUAACUGACGCUGAGGAGCGAAAGCGUGGGGAGCGAACAGGAUUAGAGACCCCUGUAGUCCCUGUCUCUUAUAC
RNAcentral lists this ribosomal RNA (301 nucleotides) under uncultured bacterium. Its description in RNAcentral is "partial 16S ribosomal RNA". It matches the Rfam family "Bacterial small subunit ribosomal RNA", at positions 509 to 807 of the family's 1533-position model. The record is from RNAcentral.